This 429-nucleotide ribosomal RNA is filed under the name Actinomycetes bacterium. RNAcentral describes it as "Actinobacteria bacterium partial 16S ribosomal RNA". It matches the Rfam family "Bacterial small subunit ribosomal RNA", at positions 355 to 776 of the family's 1533-position model. The record is from RNAcentral. Lineage: Bacteria; Bacillati; Actinomycetota; Actinomycetes.
UAGGGAAUCUUCCGCAAUGGGCGAAAGCUUGACGGAGCAACGCCGCGUGAGUGAUGAAGGUCUUCGGAUCGUAAAACUCUGUUAUUAGGGAAGAACAAAUGUGUAAGUAACUAUGCACGUCUUGACGGUACCUAAUCAGAAAGCCACGGCUAACUACGUGCCAGCAGCCGCGGUAAUACGUAGGUGGCAAGCGUUAUCCGGAAUUAUUGGGCGUAAAGCGCGCGUAGGCGGUUUUUUAAGUCUGAUGUGAAAGCCCACGGCUCAACCGUGGAGGGUCAUUGGAAACUGGAAAACUUGAGUGCAGAAGAGGAAAGUGGAAUCCCAUGUGUGGCGGUGAAAUGCGCAGAGAUAUGGAGGAACACCAGUGGCGAAGGCGACUUUCUGGUCUGUAACUGACGCUGAUGUGCGAAAGCGUGGGGAUCAAACAGG